CAGUGAUGAUUAUGAAGAAAUCCUUUGUGUUACUGGGUCAGAUGCAGAGAAUGCAACAGAUGCCAAAAAGGUAGCAGAAACUAAACUUUUUGCUGGCAUGCUGUUGGGAAAAGACUUUGUAAAAUUCCAAAUAGACUGUGGUGCUACUUGCAAUGUUAUCCCAGUUAACUUACUGAAUCCUGAUACAAGACUGGAGGAAACAAAGACACUUCUAGUCAUGUACAACAAAACCAAGCUAAGACCACUAGGAAAAUGCAAACUUAAGCUGAGAAACCCUCGGAACCAGAAACUUUACAAGCUGGAGUUCCAAGUGGUGAAUGAAAACUGCUCUGUGCCUCUUUUGGGUAAAAGAGCGAGUGAGGCAAUGAAACUAAUUAAAGUCCAUUAUGAAAACAUCAUGGCAAUAGACAGCAUAGUCACCUCACAGGCUCCCUCAAAGGGACAGUGGACGCUGGAGAAGAUAAAAACAGAGUAUGCAGAUGUCUUUAAUGGAGAUGGAUGUUUUGAAGGACUUUACAAAGUUGAAGUAGAUGAGUCUAUUAAACCUGUGCAGCUGCCAAAGAGACGUGUUCCUGUAGCAAUGAUGAAACCCCUCAAAGAUGAACUAAAAGACUUGGAGCGCAGAGAGAUAAUAUCGCCUGUAGAGCGAAGCACAGACUGGAUUAGUGGCAUGGUGGUUGUCCAAAAAUCAAAUGGGAAACCAAGGGUUUGCAUUGACCCAAGACCCUUAAACAAAGCACUAAGACGCAGCCAUUUUCCCUUGCCGACUAUUGAAGAUAUUCUCCCUGAUCUGUCCAAAGCUAAAAUUUUCACAGUGUGUGAUGUAAAAAGUGGAUUCUGGCAUGUCAAACUGGAAGAGGAGUCCAGCUAUUUGACAACAUUUUCUACCCCAUUUGGACGUUAUCGUUGGCUCAGAAUGCCAAUGGGAAUCUGUACUGCACCAGAGAUCUUUCAGAGGAAACUGACACAGGCACUGGAGAAUCUGCCUGGUCUGUACAUUAUCGCAGAUGAUGUGUUGAUCACAGGCCAAG
RNAcentral lists this long non-coding RNA (1031 nucleotides) under Oryzias javanicus (javanese ricefish). Its description in RNAcentral is "lncRNA (ENSOJAG00000001878.1)". Lineage: Eukaryota; Metazoa; Chordata; Actinopteri; Beloniformes; Adrianichthyidae. The record is from RNAcentral.